AGAGCGAACGCUGGCGGCAGGCCUAACACAUGCAAGUCGAGCGCCCCGCAAGGGGAGCGGCAGACGGGAGAGUAACACGUGGGAACGUACCCUUCAGUUCGGAACAACCAAGGGAAACUUUGGCUAAUACCGAAUACGUCCGUAAGGAGAAAGAUUUAUCGCUGAAGGAUCGGCCCGCGUCUGAUUAGCUAGUUGGUGGGGUAAUGGCCCACCAAGGCGACGAUCAGUAGCUGGUCUGAGAGGAUGAUCAGCCUCACUGGGACUGAGACACGGCCCAGACUCCUACGGGAGGCAGCAGUGGGGAAUAUUGGACAAUGGGCGCAAGCCUGAUCCAGCCAUGCCGCGUGGAUGAUGAAGGCCCUAGGGUUGUAAAGUCCUUUCGGCGGGGAAGAUAAUGGACGGUACCCGCGAGAAGAACGCCCCGGCUAACUCGUGCCAGCAGCCGC
RNAcentral lists this ribosomal RNA (446 nucleotides) under uncultured soil bacterium. Its description in RNAcentral is "bacterial SSU rRNA". It matches the Rfam family "Bacterial small subunit ribosomal RNA", at positions 26 to 518 of the family's 1533-position model. The record is from RNAcentral.